AGGUGUGUAACUCACUCAAAAUCAAUAGUGGCACGAACUCAUUUGGUCUCUCCUACGACAACAGAAUUUGCCAGCUGGUCAGAAGGACCUUCAUGACGUUGGCUGGCAAAACCUUCCUGGUCUUUAGAGUUGCGUUUGACGUGGCAUAAUGAAAUGCUAGCCUGACCUCAUCAGCUUAGAUACCUCCCUGUCCUUUGGGAAAACAGAGUUGUGCAAUAUAGCCUGUUUUAAUAACUGCUGGCAAAUGCAGACCAACCUUUUCAGUCCAGCAAUCGCAGACAGGUAAGUUGUACGUCAUUCCAAUUUUUUUUCACUUGGCUUAAAACAGAGGAGUAAUCUUGCUGUAAAAAUUCUACAUUAAAAAUUGUAUGCUUGAAUGUGUAUUUUUUUAAAACUGUCAGAAAAGGAGUAAAUUCAACCCUGACUCUCUGCAUUUCCCAAGGACAGCCUCAGUUACAAUCUGUCCUCAAUUGCUCAGCUAUAAUAAUAGAUAGUAAAACAGGUAUCUGAUAGAAUAUAUCCUGUAAGAGAGACAGUCAUUUAUAUCGAUUCUCAUGACUUAUGAACAUCAUAACUUCAGUUGAUGUAAAUAUAUACCAGUGACUAGGUAUCUGUAACAAAAUACAAUACUGCUAAAGCACAAAAAAGAGACUUCAGAGUUGAAUUUCAGUGAACAAAAUAGAUUUUGUAGUGGGCUGAAUAAAGAGAGAUUUGCUUUUCUAAAGAAUGUUAAUAGUUGUUACAGUAGGAAAGAAAAAAGAGCAGAAAUGCUGCUUUAGUAUUAGUGUCCUACUCUAAAAAGUAAGCCUGUACUUGAAAACUCUCAAGUACAUGAACAAGAAACAAGACUGCAUGACACAGCCUAAUGCUGCAAAAGUAAAGGACUGGCACAAUAGCUGUGAUUAACAGUAUACAAACAGAAGUCACUGAAAUAGCUAUCUAUGAAGGCAGGGAUGCUUUGUCCUGCAUCACCAGAAGUAAAAAUAAAAAGUGUUUUUUAUUUCAUUGACUAUAAAUACAGCUAAAAUCCCACAGUCCCAUAGGUUCAGCACCUUCAUCAGGAAAGGCAGAAAAGAAGCUCCAUCUGGUGGCAUGGUUGAUUGUAAUUGCUUUUCAAUUUCAUCUAAUUGUAAAUACAUUCCUCUUCAGCAGCAACAUGAAAAACUGAAGUAAUGUGUAAAGGAUCACCUGUUGUGCAAGUGGAACCAGCAUUGUCUAACACUUUAAGAUCGGAAAACACUCUAAAAUCAGGACCUUUUUCUAUUUGAGGCAAAUCAGUUGAAGCCUUUCAAUACAAGGCACACGUGAUCCUGUCAGGGUACUAAUCUGGGACAGAAAAAGAUCAUCAGAAAUGAAAGGGUGCAUUAGCACACUUCAAGCCGUGAUCUGCUGCAGCCUGGGGUGGGGAGAAGAGAAGGCAGAAAUCACUGGUUAAAGGAUGAAGGAGGGGGAGAUGUGUAAAUGUGAAGUCAAGGUUGCUGCUGAACCUGUCACAUAACAGUUCAUGGAACAUUUACAGAGGUAUUAAAAAGAAUAUUGCUGUGUGUCAUAAUAAGGAAAUAAACCAUUCUUCAGUUAGUUAUUUUUUAUAAUAAAUUAACUUUUCUUCAAUGACCAGAUGGCAAUUUUGUUGAAAAGAUGUCUUGAAAAAAAAAUCUUGAACCGUUCUAGCUGCAACAGAUUUGCAACAUCUUAGUAUGAAAACAAAGUAGAUGCUUGAAUCAAUUUCUUAUGUAGUAAAGUGACUAAAUUUUAGGAAGGUGUUUUCUUCUUCCCUGCCUCCACUAUAUUCUUACCACCUAAGCUGUGAAAACUGUAGACAUGGACAAAAGCAAUGAAGGAACCUGGAUGCACAGAACAGCUUAGCAAAAAUAAAAGAUCAGGUUGACCAACACCUAUACUGGCUAUUUGCAAAGACUUGCUGAACAAAAUGCUGGUGGUCAGGUAAAAUAAUUUGACCUAAGCUUACGAAUAAUUUUAGCAAGUAUUUAAUUGCGAAUAUCUGUGUACAUGCAACAUCUGAGUAAUUUCAGCAAAGUCACUGCUUUGCAGGGUUGGGAGACACAUUACCCCAAGCUGAUGUUAUAAAGUGUUAUAAGCAUUGUAAAAUAUAAAACUAAUUGGGUAAAUGAUACUAGGUGUAGCCACUGAAAUUCUAUGCCUCGUUUCAUGUACAAACUCAUGUCUGCUACUGCUCCUUCAAGAAGCCACAGCAAUUUCUCUCAAGACAGUAUCCUAGCCCACAUCUGUGCUAAACCCCAGCAAUCUUAAACACAGAUAUACAUAAACCUUGUCCUGCAAACUCAGUAAAAAAAAAUACACUUUGUGUACUCUUUUGUAGUGCCCACAUUUUAAAGGGCAGUAUGCUGCAUUUCAUCAAAUCAAUGCAUCAUUACUUUUUUUUAGAGUAGACCAGAGCUUAGUAUUAAUUACUCAAUUAAAAAAAAAAAAAUCCAUCUUAAAAGAAUGAUGGGAAUACAGAUUCAAGCACCAAUACACUAAAAAUUGCCCUAAGUCACAUUGCUUUUAUAACCUUAAUGCAGCCCUUUUUUAUUUUUUUUGAGCGUAUCAUUUAGGUUACAGCCUUUAAUUAUGCAUUUUAGGCCAUUUUUCUCUCAGGACUGUCUCAUUAAGCACACAAGAUAGACAGCUGCUCAAUAGUGUUAUCACUGCUUUUCUCUACAGAGCUCAAAAUGUAGCUGUGGGCCUUACUUACUGAACAGUAUUCCAGUCCUGCUCUGGAGAUGUGAUUGGAUUUCCUCACAGGAUCUCCAGUUGUGGUCACAGUAUCUUCAAGUGCCUCCAAAAUAGUAGACUACUAUGAGAUGAAGUAUUCCUGAUUUUACCAUUAGAGAGCUGAGCUGUGGAAAGGCCAAGCAGAAGGACUCAACUCAUUUCAGUUUGAAAAUACUUCAAGAAGCCACUCCUUGCAAGGAAUUCAAAAACAAUUCACUUGAAAGAAGACACUUUGUUUCCAAAAUAAAGAUGUUCUUGAAGAAGAAGUGGUGCCGUUCACACCCUGCUCUGUCUCCUUGCAUUUAAUUUCACUUAUUUUUAUAUGCUGUUUUCAACUUAUCCCACCAAGUGAAGAAGAAAUGGCAUUUCUUACUUCUCCCACAAGAAGGAUGUGUUCAUUCCCCAAAAGAAGUUCCUGCCUUUUCACUCCAAAGGUUUACCUUGGCUGAAUGCAGAGGAUUUUUAUUUAACUGUGAAGCCUGUGUCACUUUCAAAUUUGCAGAUUAAUGAGUCUAUGUAAAAUUCUAUGUCUCUUUCCUGCCGUGUGUUCAGGGGGUGUCUUAUCACUAUGGUUUACAACUGAAUCCAUGUAAUCAUCAUUUCUUGAUUCAUAUGACAGAACAGGAAGACCCGUAAAGUAGUAGCAUUCAACUACAAGAUGCAAAUCACUUUCUUUAUUUUUCACAUUUAAGUGCAGUGGAUAAAAGCAGUGAGAUGGUGACCUUUCAGUAUGUUCUGCAGAGAGCUCUAAUCCUCCAGGCAACCAGUGAAGUCUAAAAUAUGUUUAUACUCUUAUCUGUGCUUCCGUGUUUCAUAUAUUCUUAUGUGUUUAUAGUCAUAUACAUGUGUGUAUUUACAUUAAUCCGAUAGUUACCUGUCACACAGUCUUUUCAAUACUUCCUGAACCAAACUUGCUUCCUCUGAUCCUGUUAGCCAGUUAAACAUUAGCUGCUGUCAAGCAUUGUAGGAGGGUGGGGGCAGGGAUAAUUUUUUUAGUGUAUUUCUAGACUAAAACUUUGAAUCUUGCUCAAAUGAAUGAAAUGUACAAUUCUAAUUUUAAA
Molecule: long non-coding RNA, 3797 nt
Organism: Chiroxiphia lanceolata (lance-tailed manakin)
Lineage: Eukaryota; Metazoa; Chordata; Aves; Passeriformes; Pipridae
Exons: 2
Source: RefSeq, a predicted model, not a curated record